UCUGGGGUGGGGCCUGAUGGUUUGCAUCUCUAACAAGUUCCCAGGUUACCUUCAGCCUCCUGGGUGGUGCUGGAGUUGUUGUUCUUGAGACCACACUACCCCAGAGUAACAAAGAAGGAAGCCGCAUACAAAAACCCAUCGAACCAAUGGGGAAUGAACAUAGGUCAGAGUCAGAGUCUCCCGGGAGCUUGGUAAGGAGCAAAGCCCUCUUGGGAGAUGCAUGCACUCAAGACCUCAAAAAGCAGAGCUGAGAGAAUUAACAAAGGCUUGGUGGGUGAAGGUUUGGACUGAGGAGGCCAAGCUGUGUUUACAGAUGUGUUUAAGAUCUAAGGUCAAAGUGGAGAUGUGGAGGACAAGCAACAUGAGAGGCCACGGGCAGGACCUUUGUUUUCACCUAAACAGUCAGUUUAUCACCUUUUGAUCACAAACCACGGUGAGAUAGAGCAUUUUACCCUGGGGACUCCCUGUCAGACACAUUUUCUAUACUCAUGUGCACAUACGUUUGUAUUCAUUGGCCACAGAGCUUCAUGAAACAUUUCCUAGGCAUGCUGUGCACCACGGGUUUUCCUCCCUAUUCCACAUGGUUCUAUACUACAGGGAGGCAGUAUGCAGAGUGGUCAAGAGCGUGACCUCUGACAUCAGGGUACCUGGGCUUUAACCACCUCCAGCAGCUUAACCUCACUGGGUCCCAGCGUCCUCACCUGUAAAACAGGGAUGAUGAUGGAAAUCCUGGAGAAGAGCGGGAAGCCUGUGAAGAUGGCUACAACAUGGCGGUGUGUUUGGAUCUCUGCUUACCCAAAGAGGAGACGGGGGUGAGACUCCAACGAGAUGGCUAGUGAAAAAGUGUCUGCAGGCCGGUGGGGGAUAGAGUCGACGAGCUCAGAGUAGGACAUGAGUCAUUUUCUUGAAUUUCACCAGAUGAAGAAAGGGAUUUCAGGUGGGUCAUGGAACUUCCUGAUCUUUCGAAGAAGAGUUCUCAGAGUUCAAGCUGUUUAUCUCCACCAGUCCGGGGAGUGUGACGGACUCAGCAAGUUUCCAACCUUGGUAUUCAGACCCGUAUCCAGGUUGUUAAUAUAUAUAUAUAUAUAUACAUGUGCUGUGUGCUGCUGGCCUCUCGGUGCCAG
This 1124-nucleotide long non-coding RNA is filed under the name Ictidomys tridecemlineatus (thirteen-lined ground squirrel). RNAcentral's name for it is "lncRNA (ENSSTOG00000033777.1)". The record is from RNAcentral. Lineage: Eukaryota; Metazoa; Chordata; Mammalia; Rodentia; Sciuridae.